Plectropomus leopardus (leopard coralgrouper) is the source of this 7020-nucleotide non-coding RNA. Lineage: Eukaryota; Metazoa; Chordata; Actinopteri; Perciformes; Serranidae. The record is from RefSeq and is a predicted model, not a curated record.
UAAAGAAAUCAAACCAAUGUGCUCAGUUUUCAAAGGGUUAAGGUGCAUUGCCAUUACUAAAGAAACGGACCUGUGGACAUCCUGUAAGUAUUCUGCAGAGCGCUGAGACAACAGCUCGCACAAAGCAAACAGACAUUCAUCUAAAUCCAUUCAGUGAUCUGACAACACGAGCAGAUUAUGCAGAAAAGAAACCAGAUUAAAUCAUGUACCUGUGAAACAUCUCAGCAGUUUAUUUGACUGUAAAAAAAGAAGAAGAAGAAGAGCAUAGUGUUUGGCAUGACAACAGAAACAACCCCAGAUGUUUUUUGUCACAGACGCUGCCUCACCUUUAUCAUCAUGAGGAUCCUCAGCUGUAAAUGUGAAAAGAGGCGAGUUUCUCUUCAUCCUUAAACCUCAGUCCUCUCGUAUCCUCACCCCUCCUCUCUGAUCCUUCUCUCCAACCUUGUAUGUUUUCUAAUGGCACAUUUCCGCACAAUCAACAGAAAAAAAACGGUCACAUGGGUGUUGAGGGCAUUCAAUGAGUCACAUGGGAUGACACUUAAAGGUAUACUCUGCAGGAUUGUCCUAAAAAACAAAACAACAUAUAGACUGACUCAUACAUUAGUGACUGCUCUCCAUCAUUAUGACCCACUACAACAGUGUGGUUGAGUAUUUAUCUCUGUUUACAAACCGUAAGCAACAAUUCCUGCAUGGUGUACCUUUAAAGGAACAGUUCACCUCAAAAUCAAAAAUACAUAUUUUUUUCUUACCUGCAGCGUAGUUUAUCUGUUUAGAUUGUUUUUCUGUGAGUUGCCGAGUGUUGGAGAUAUCAGCUGUAGAGAUGUCUGUCUUCUCUCCAGUAUAAUGUUACUAACUACAUGUGCUCAGCUCAAAGUGCCAAAAAAAGCAUUUGAAAAACUUUAGAGCAAUGUCUCUUUCCAGAAAUCAGGACCUGGUUAGUAACAGUGACUUUUAUGGUAUAAAUUAAAAAAAAUAUCAGCUGAUAUAUGUCUGCACUGCUGAUAGAAGUCACCGAUGGCGUACCUUGCAACAGACAUUUAAAACAGUUAAAAAACACUUCCUUGUCUCCUGCAUUUUCAUGUACUGAAUACUGACUUUCCCUGCCAAGGACUUAGUUGAUUAUCAGUUUGACUCAUAUAUUGGUAGUGUUUUCGACAGAGUUCACUGCUGAUACAGAGGUAAAUAGAACAUCAAAAAUGGAUCUAGUGUCUGGAUGAUUGGUUUAGUGAGUAAGUCAAGUGGUUAGUGUAUCAGAAGUUGCUGGUUCAAGUCUUGUUUGGAACAUUUAACUUUUAUGAUAUAAAUAAAAUAAAAUAUCAGUUAAUAUAAGUCUGCUCUGCUGAAAGAAGUCACCGAUGGCGUACCUUGCAACAAACAUUUAAAACAGUUAAAAAACACUUCCUUGUCUCCUGCAUUCUCAUGUACUGAAUACUGACUUUCCCUGCCAAGGACUUAGUUGAUUAUCAGUUUGACUCAUAUAUUGGUAGUGUUUUCAAGAGUUCACUGCUGAUACAGAGGUAAAUAGAACAUCAAAAAUGGAUCUAGUGUCUGGGUGUUUGGCUUAGUGGAUAAGUCAGGGGGUUAGUGUGCCAGAGGUUGCUGGUUCAAGUCUCACCUAGAACAGGUGACAUUUAAUUACUUAAGCAGAUGAAUACAUCAGCCAAUAUUUUAUUUUAUUUAUGCCAUAAACUAUCAUUUAGCUGUAGAUUAAUAAUUAAGCACGUAAAGUUGAGUGAAAUAACGUUUUUGCCAAGAAAUCAGGUGAAGUGGUCCAAAAACAGGUAAAACCAGUAUCGGCAGUGACGUCUGUUGAAAACUUGACUGAUAUAGCCAAUGGUACCUGUAGUACCUUUGGCUUGUUUUUGGUCAGCGCUCUACUUGGGGAACCCGGCAUACAGAUCUGAUACUAACAGGUGGAGUUAAAAACACUGCAGUCGGUUGAUUGGUCAGUAGAGAAUCAACACAAGAUUUUCUUAUAUUAGGAAACUAUUACUAUAAAAUGAAAGGAUGCUUGUAGCCUCUAGCAGCAGAUGUAGGCUAAGAAAAAAAAACUUAAGUCAGAGGACCAACUGCUGGCAAGUUUUAAGAUGGAAUUUAAUCUUUACUCGAAGAAAAAAAACAAACAUGUAGGACUGUCGGAGCUUUUUGAGUUACGUUAGAGAAUAAAUGGGAAAAAAAAUACGGUCUAUAUGCUGCAUUUGUCUGCUAUGACAAGACAAUGUCAAGACACAAGUUUCAAGUAACAAGCCCAUUUAAAUUUUGGUAAUUGUAAUUGUGUUAUUUAAUGUAAAAAGUAAUUAGUUCCAUGUUUAGUUACUGCCAAACGUAGGGGAACUACAGUAACACUGGUGCAAGUUGAGCAAAUAGUAGAUGCAUGCUUCCCCAUGAGAGAUCUGUGGAUUAUCUUGAGUAACCAGGUCCUGAUUUUCUGGAAAGAGACAUUGAUGUUGAAGUUUAAAGUUUUUUUAAAUACAUUUUUGAAACUUUGAGCUCCACAGGCUGAUUGCAAUCUAGAUCCAAUAUACUGGAGAGAAGGCAGACAUCUCUACAGCCAGUCGAGAACGAUAAACAGCACUACAGAGAAGAGGAAACGUAUGUAUUUUUUAAUUUUUUGGGUUGAACUGUCUCUUAAAGUUUUAGUAGUAGUGUGUGAAGAUAAUGGUUGCAGCUGUAUAGUACAUAAAUGAAACCGAAACCAUCAGAGUGGACCAGUGCAAAGUUUAUCUCAUUCUACAGACCCAAAGCAGCAAAUGUUUGGACUGAAUGCCGAGUUUCUCUUUUUGUUUUCAAUCAGGAAACUAAAAGCAAAACAAACUAAAUUAAAGGAUAAUGCAGGUGCAAAUAUAUAUAUUUUCCCAUGACAAGACCAAAAUCAUCAAUGAACUGAUCAUGCCACCAAGUGUUCAGCAUAUUUAUAAAUAAUUUAAUAAUUCUUCUACCUAAUGUGACUUUAAAUUACCUUUAGAUCUUUAAAACCUUUAAUGAAUAAAAUGUUCAAAUCAAACAGAAAAAAUAUUUUGCUUUUUGUUAUUUCAUUUACAGAUGUGCCUGCCUAAUAUAUUCCUUCCAGCAGUGUGUUAAUUCCCCACUUCACAUUCACAGUUUCCAUUUCAAGAUUAGUUUUUAUUAAAAAAUCAAAUUAAGGUCCCACCUACAGAGCAGCUGCAGAGCUCUGAUUGGCCAGACUGAAAACAUUGCAGCUGACCAAUCAGAGCUCCUGCUGCUGCUCUGUGGGUUUUAAUGACAUAAUUUAAUAUUUAAUUAUAUAUGAAUGUUUCAUUAGUUUUUUGAUUUUCUAUUUAGUCUAGAGUCACCAAUUACCAAAAUUAAUUGUAACAACUAUUUGAAGUGUACCAAUUUAUUAAUGAAUUCUUUUUAAACACUGAAGUCUGUUAAUGUUUCAGUGGCACCAUAAAGGCUCCAAACACUGUUUUUCAUUUUGUGUCAAUCCCAGUUAAUACACAAUACCUUAGAGCAAUAAAUGUGUAUUCAAUACACAAAUAGUCCCAAUAAAUGAUUUAUUUGCUUGUGUUUGAGUAGCGUUUGCUAAAAACAACAGUUGUUUCAGUGUUUCAAAGAUUUAUGUCUUCACGGGGAACGCUCGACCCUGAGGGCGCAGUGUGGAGCAGAAAUAGAAAAGUCAGAUAAUCGCUCAAGAUUUUCUGACAAUUUGAUGAUUUUGUUCUUUUCAUGAGAACCACAAAAUAUCAAAUAAUGCUAGUGUUAAAAGAAACACCAUUUGUAUAUAACCUCACUGCGUGUAACCUUGAAUUUGUUGAGAAAAUGUUUUUGUCCUCCACAGUGAACAGAGAGUCCAAAAAAGGUAAAUGUUCAGGGUCUGCAUUUAACGAAAUUAAAACUAUAUAAAAACAUCAGUUUACAAACUCUCACACAACUCUUGCAGUAUUAUCGAAGUCUCCAGUGGUCCCUUAAAAAGUAUUAAAAGCAUUGAAUUUAUUCAUGUAAAGAUCUUAAGUCUGAUAUCAGUCGUUCAAACGUCCUAAAAAGGCGUGAUGGGAAGUAUAAUUUUACGCAUUUUUUUUUUUGCUGUUACACUGUGAGGUCCAAAAAUAAUUGGUGACAUCUAUAAUUUUAAAAUGCGUUACCUAAUGCCUCUUGCAUUGAUAACACUUAGCUCGCUGUCACUGUACUCUGCACAUGGAAGUGAAAGGUGAAAAGAAGUGAAAAAUUGGCUUUUUUUAAGAAACCAAGCUUUAUAAGCAUGCCUGAAAUCGGUACAGUGCAAUUCAUAUGAAGCUUUUGCAUAUUUUAUGCAAAAACAUUUUUCAAACACAAAUUGAGGCAGUGAAAUGUGAGAUGUGAGUGAGAAACGCAAAUUUGUCAAAACCUCCCACCACAAAUGGCAGCUAUUUCCCAGCUCGUCUCUAUCCGUGUCUUUGCCACGAAACAAGAAAGUCAUGAUUUUUGCUUGACUUUUUUUUUUCCCUGUCAUUUUGGUUGUUUUUUAUUCAGAGUGGUAUUAAAAAAGUCUUAAAUCUAAAUUAACCCUCAGCUGUAGUAGCUUAUGCUCAGUACCUAAACACAUGCAUUUUUACUUAAACACUCUGAUUUAAAACAGUACAGUCUCGUGCAGGGUCAUGUAGUGUGCUGCCUGAAGGGGGAAGUGUUUUAAAUUGUAAUGCUUUAAUUAAAAUGCGUGUUUUUGGGAAGUACUGAGAAUACCACUGGAUAAAUGAGACUUGGAUUAUACUAAACGAGUUGUGUGAGAGUUUAAUAUUCGAUAUCGUGUGGCUUUUUAAACACAGACUCCUACGACUACGAUUCAUAAAGAAUGUAAACCUUUUUUGGAUUCUCUUUUCAUUGUGGAGGAGGUGAGAAAAACAAAGUUUUAUUCAUGGAUUCAAGGUAACACUUGAUGAGUAAUUAAUACAAAAGGUCACUUUGCAGUUAAAAUGUUCUUUGCAGCCCCUUGCACAAAUGUACUUUAUACAGUAAUAUUCUCGGGUAAAACCUUGACACUCUGUCCAGACAUUCGCUGAUUACUGUUCUCUGUGACUCAGCCAAGACAAACAGAACUAGCUGUAGUGUUUGGAAAUAUCUUAACAAAAAAAACCUCAUUAAAAUCUGUGAAAGUGGCGGGUGAAAGACAGUUUGUCUGAUGACAUGCUGAGUAAUACUGCAGAAAGAAAAAAAAACAACAGUAGAUAAAAGGGCACAUUUCCACACGGGCUCGUCUGUCCCCGUCCACAGGAUGAGCAUCAUCACCGUCGUCAGUAUAGAGUUCAUAUUAAAGGCCUCAUCGGAGAUCGUUGGACAUUCAUUGGGUCGUACCAUCUGAUUGAGCAAGCAAGAAGGGGGGUGUGGAGCGAUGCAGGGAGGGGUGGACGGCUGAAAGCACUGGAGUGCAAAAAGACAGAUGCAUUCGCCUCCUCUAGUCUGUCAUUCAAAGUGCGCGCUCUCCGGGUUUGACAGAAAUGAUCAGAAACAUCUGAUCAGCUUAAUUGCUUACUUCCUGCACAAAAGAAAAACUUCAGCAUUCAGGUGCGUCGAUCUGCUGAAGCCAAACAGGACGUCAGCUGCGGCGUUUUGCUAGGACCAGCGAGGACUCGUGAAAAUCCCGACAUGAGUCAUACAGUAUGUACAUCUGAAUACACGUCGGUGUUUAUAGAUAGCUCUCUAAUAUAUUAAUGUACAAAAUAUAGAAUCUUAAAAUAUCUGAUAGGGUUUGGUGUUCUGAAGUCAAAAUACAAAAUGCCGAAGAUUAGAAAAGCUCUUCAUUGACAUCCUCUUUGUGUUUCGUGUGUGUAUAUGUCGUCGAUACUGUUGUGUAAGUUUGUGGAUUUUUACGAGAAGCUUCCUGUAAACACUGCGGAGCGUUUCUCUCUGUGCGUACAAUAAAUCAGUUUGAACUGUCUCUGAGGGACAUUCUCAACCUCUUUGUCAAUCGUUAGGCUGAAUUCACAUCAAAUCUGCGUCAAAUAGUUGCGAGGUUUUUGGCAGUGGGAGUGUCCCUUAAUGGCUCAUUUUCGGGGGACUGGAGGGUGGAGAGAAAGCCAGUUUCCCCAACUCAGCAGCUGAUUAUUGGUCUUCAGUACAUUUGUUUGUGUUGACUCAGUAGAAUUCCUUUAGACUAUCAUCGCUGUAUUUUUACCGCCACAAAAGACGUGCGUACACACAAAGCGAGUGCUCUCCUCUGAGGGCUCUUUUGGGAUUAUUGUGGCCUGAAAUGCCUCAUUUUACUGCAGCUUUUCCAAAAAAAUUGCCAUACAAGUUACAGUAUUUAAAGAUUUAAAAUAAAUUAAAUUGAAAUUGAAACUGCAAAAUAUUUGCGAUGCUGUCUGAGAUUUGGGGCUUUUUCUUAUGAGCAUUUAGUAUUUCCCAUAGAACUAGGAUCGGUCUGUGCUGGUAGAGCUGCAGCGGGACCGUCUGUGGGCUGCUCUCAUCCCGCUGUCUCUCACGUUUUUCGCAGCACCGGUGUCUUUUUAUUCAAUUGUUCCUUUUGAGGUUGGCAGCAUGCAGCUGCAUGUGCCGCCUAAAGAAAAAGCGCUGAGCUCGGUGUCUUUCCAGAGCACUCUGCCUUUUUUGACGGCCGCUCAGCACUUCAAGUCAAAAAUCUCUCUUUUUAUUUUCUGUUUUUUUUUAGAAAAGCGCUGGUGAUGUUAUUGCCGCUUUUCAGCGAGACUACCGUCACAACAGAGAAAGAAAAGUCCAUGUGCGGGAGAAGAUCGGCCGGCGGACGCUGGAUGUUACCGGGGACUGCAGACCUGUACCAGCAGCAGCAGCAGCUAUUUGAGCAACCGUUGACCAGAAACCACAUGCUGAGGAGUGGAAAUUCCCCAACUGCAGGAGGAGGAAGCUUCUACCUGAACAUGACACCCCAAAGAAAAGGAAGUUUCUACAAAAUCCCUGGGCCAGCCAAUGAGAAGAGACAAAGAGUGGAGAGAGUGAUGAUGGACCUCCUGAUAAAAGAGGAACAAAGGAUUACUGUGAGAUUUUUUUUCGCUCUUGACGCUUUUGAUUCAUUAUGUGCCUGUGUGUUUUUUCAUUAUCUGGCUUAGA